AUUUUAUUUAUAAUAUUUUAUCGUGAACUCCUUAGCUCAUAUUAUGGACUCCGAAAUACAAUUUUUUUCUUGUGAAUCCUCUCAAAACUUCUUUGGAUCUCGGUUGGGAAACGCUCAGAUAGAUGAACUCCGUCUAGGCCAGCGGUGGGCGAACUUUUCUGACCCCGGGUCACAUGGAUUUCUGUAAGGUUUAUAACGGACCGCAUGUGAGAAAAAUUUUUUUUACUCUCCGAUACAUGUGGUACUCAUACAGUAGUAUAGGAAAAUAUUGCGAUCAUGCCGGAAACCAGCGUUUUAUUUUUAAGCAAUUUUCAUGGUCACCUCAAAAUCCGUUGUCGUGUAUCCGUUACAUAUUCAAAAAUAUCAGAAAAUCGAAUGGGGCACAUGCCAGAUUUUUUUAAAGGGGACAAGCUUACAAAAUGUAAAUUUAAUUAAUUAUAAAUUGCUUGUUUAUAUAAUUGAAUAC
RNAcentral lists this long non-coding RNA (466 nucleotides) under Androctonus crassicauda. Lineage: Eukaryota; Metazoa; Arthropoda; Arachnida; Scorpiones; Buthidae. The record is from RNAcentral.